CACAGCAUCAGUCUCUCCUAGUACUGCACCAGCAGACAUUACCCCUGCCCCUGCAGAAGACACAACACCUGGAGCAGCAGUCACAACUGAGCCCACAACGGCUGAAACCCCAGAGCCAAGUUCACCUGAUGCAUCAGUCCCUCCACCUCCUGAAACAACAGCCAUUGCCACAAGUAAAUGAAGCAGAUUUAUCCUGGUUUAUGCCCUUAAUUCCCUACCAAAGCUGGGGUCUGAUGAUGUGCUGGCAAGGCUCCCUGUCUCCAUGCAUCAUCUCAUGGAAUUAAUAUUGAAAUUUAGGGAUAAUUUUUUUGGCUUCCCACAAAUCGUGGGACCUGAAUUUUUGGUAUUGAUGUGGGAGGAAUACCUGCUCUGCUGCAAGCUCUAAGGAACUGGAAUUCACUGGGGCAGACACACCACAUCAAUAUAAAUUCAGAUUUCCCCUAGAUCACCUCACCCCUACAAAGCCAGCCCCCCUGCACUUCCAAACUGCAUCCCCACUGGAAGCUGAGUCAGUGGGAACCCUUUUGACAUAUUCAUAUUCAUUUGCUUUGAACCUGAGUUUUCCACAGUGGGCUUUGUCUUUUGAAAAAACUGAAUUGCAAAUUCUGCUCACUAGUUGAUAACAUUCUGCCUCAGCUGCCCACAGAGCAGACCCAGGGUGUCUUUUAGAGUCUGGCCAUAGCAGCUACUCUGAUAAAAUGUACUUGGCUGCUUUGGUAAAACACACAAGAAACUGAACUUCAGGUGCAAAGCAGACAUUUGAACAUGGGGUUAUUGCCUCACACAGAGAGAUAAACAGAAUUAAAUCCCAUUAAUGCCAGUAAUAUGUCACUUU
Long non-coding RNA from Passer domesticus (house sparrow), 835 nucleotides. RefSeq lists it as uncharacterized. NCBI's taxonomy places the organism in Eukaryota, Metazoa, Chordata, Aves, Passeriformes, Passeridae. The record is from RefSeq and is a predicted model, not a curated record. The transcript is spliced from 4 exons.